GGGGAAUAUUGCACAAUGGGCGCAAGCCUGAUGCAGCCAUGCCGCGUGUAUGAAGAAGGCCUUGGUUGUAAAGUACUUUCAGUCGUGAGGAAGGCGUUAGUGUUAAUAGCACUAUCGUUUGACGUUAGCGACA
This 133-nucleotide ribosomal RNA is filed under the name uncultured bacterium. RNAcentral's name for it is "partial 16S ribosomal RNA". It matches the Rfam family "Bacterial small subunit ribosomal RNA", at positions 356 to 483 of the family's 1533-position model. The record is from RNAcentral.